AGAAUUCAUACGUGAACGUCCACUUCAGGCCAAGCACUGGAAGGAGCUGAAGUCUAGGCUGCAGAUUUCAAUAAGCAAACUGCCAGACUCUGGGAAGGAACCUGCUCUGCUUUCUCGCUCAUCUCUCUGGAGCAAACUGAAGACAGGAGUUUGGCCUCAAGGAGACAGAAGCUUCAGGAGAUGGGAAGACACUUCUGAAAGAAAACCUACAGGAUCAGCGUUCCUGACUGCAGUUGUGGUAUGUACACAGCACAG
This is a long non-coding RNA of Cervus elaphus (red deer), 255 nucleotides long. RefSeq lists it as uncharacterized. The transcript has 4 exons. The record is from RefSeq and is a predicted model, not a curated record. Lineage: Eukaryota; Metazoa; Chordata; Mammalia; Artiodactyla; Cervidae.